Molecule: long non-coding RNA, 277 nt
Filed under: Mus spicilegus (steppe mouse)
Lineage: Eukaryota; Metazoa; Chordata; Mammalia; Rodentia; Muridae
Description: lncRNA (ENSMSIG00000005591.1)
Source: RNAcentral
AAUAUCAUUGGAAUGAGCCCCCUUGGCAGAUGUACAGGUCCUGAUGACAGGUAUUUUCCAGGUCCAGGGUCCCACAAUCACAGCUCUAAAAGAUUCUCUGUGUGAAGUGUUUGAAGAAGUGGUGGACGUGACACUGAUCUUGGAGCUGCAUUCCCUGACUCUGUUAAGUUGUGGAUGUGUCUAUUUGCUCAUGCCCAUAGAGGGUAUUUUGCCUCUUGUGGAGACCUGUCAUAAAAUGGGGCGAAGAGCAAAUUCCUUCUGGUGGAAAAGGUGUUAA